AAUGAAUGAUGACACUUUGUUUCGGUCCCAGAUGAAGAAAUGAUUACUUUAUCCUAAUGCUGACAUU
Laticauda laticaudata (blue-ringed sea krait) is the source of this 67-nucleotide small nucleolar RNA. Its record names the gene SNORD73. It matches the Rfam family "Small nucleolar RNA SNORD73". From Rfam's summary of the family: U73 is a member of the C/D class of snoRNA which contain the C (UGAUGA) and D (CUGA) box motifs. U73 is encoded within the introns of ribosomal protein S3a and contains a 12nt region of complementarity to a conserved sequence in 28S ribosomal RNA. The record is from Ensembl. NCBI's taxonomy places the organism in Eukaryota, Metazoa, Chordata, Lepidosauria, Squamata, Elapidae.